Molecule: long non-coding RNA, 229 nt
Filed under: Gossypium barbadense (sea-island cotton)
Lineage: Eukaryota; Viridiplantae; Streptophyta; Magnoliopsida; Malvales; Malvaceae
Description: long non-coding RNA (GBAR_LNC006432)
Source: RNAcentral
ACGAAUGCUCUUCGGGGUUGAGCACGGAUAUAUCACUAGCACGAAUGCUCUUCGGAACUUAGCCCGGAUACAUCACUAGCAUGAAUGCUCUUCGGAACUUAGCCCGGAUACAUCACUAGCAUGAAUGCUCUUCGGGACUUAGCCCGGAUUUAGUAACUUGCACAAAUGCCUUCGGAUCUUAGUCCGGAUAUGGUCACUUAGCACAAAGCCUUCGGGACUUAGCCCGGAC